This 1369-nucleotide ribosomal RNA is filed under the name uncultured bacterium. RNAcentral's name for it is "16S ribosomal RNA". It matches the Rfam family "Bacterial small subunit ribosomal RNA", at positions 31 to 1381 of the family's 1533-position model. The record is from RNAcentral.
GAACGCUGGCGGCGUGCCUAAUACAUGCAAGUCGAGCGAACGGACGAGAAGCUUGCUUCUCUGAUGUUAGCGGCGGACGGGUGAGUAACACGUGGAUAACCUACCUAUAAGACUGGGAUAACUUCGGGAAACCGGAGCUAAUACCGGAUAAUAUUUUGAACCGCAUGGUCCUAAAGUGAAAGACGGUCUUGCUGUCACUUAUAGAUGGAUCCGCGCUGCAUUAGCUAGUUGGUAAGGUAACGGCUUACCAAGGCAACGAUGCAUAGCCGACCUGAGAGGGUGAUCGGCCACACUGGAACUGAGACACGGUCCAGACUCCUACGGGAGGCAGCAGUAGGGAAUCUUCCGCAAUGGGCGAAAGCCUGACGGAGCAACGCCGCGUGAGUGAUGAAGGUCUUCGGAUCGUAAAACUCUGUUAUUAGGGAAGAACAUAUGUGUAAGUAACUGUGCACAUCUUGACGGUACCUAAUCAGAAAGCCACGGCUAACUACGUGCCAGCAGCCGCGGUAAUACGUAGGUGGCAAGCGUUAUCCGGAAUUAUUGGGCGUAAAGCGCGCGUAGGCGGUUUUUUAAGUCUGAUGUGAAAGCCCACGGCUCAACCGUGGAGGGUCAUUGGAAACUGGAAAACUUGAGUGCAGAAGAGGAAAGUGGAAUUCCAUGUGUAGCGGUGAAAUGCGCAGAGAUAUGGAGGAACACCAGUGGCGAAGGCGACUUUCUGGUCUGUAACUGACGCUGAUGUGCGAAAGCGUGGGGAUCAAACAGGAUUAGAUACCCUGGUAGUCCACGCCGUAAACGAUGAGUGCUAAGUGUUAGGGGGUUUCCGCCCCUUAGUGCUGCAGCUAACGCAUUAAGCACUCCGCCUGGGGAGUACGACCGCAAGGUUGAAACUCAAAGGAAUUGACGGGGACCCGCAUAUGCGGUGGAUCAUGUGGUUUAAUUCGAAGCAACGCGAAGAACCUUACCAAAUCUUGACAUCCUUUGACAACUCUAGAGAUAGAGCCUUCCCCUUCGGGGGACAAAGUGACAGGUGGUGCAUGGUUGUCGUCAGCUCGUGUCGUGAGAUGUUGGGUUAAGUCCCGCAACGAGCGCAACCCUUAAGCUUAGUUGCUAUCAUUAAGUUGGGCACUCUAAGUUGACUGCCGGUGACAAACCGGAGGAAGGUGGGGAUGACGUCAAAUCAUCAUGCCCCUUAUGAUUUGGGCUACACACGUGCUACAAUGGACAAUACAAAGGGCAGCGAAACCGCGAGGUCAAGCAAAUCCCAUAAAGUUGUUCUCAGUUCGGAUUGUAGUCUGCAACUCGACUACAUGAAGCUGGAAUCGCUAGUAAUCGUAGAUCAGCAUGCUAUGGUGAAUACGUUCCCGGGUCU